GACGAACGCUGGCGGCGUGCUUGACACAUGCAAGUCGAGCGGUAAGGCCCUUUCGGGGGUACACGAGCGGCGAACGGGUGAGUAACACGUGGGUGACCUGCCCUCAGCUCUGGGAUAAGCCUGGGAAACCGGGUCUAAUACUGGAUAUGACUCCAUGACGCAUGUUGUGGGGUGGAAAGCCUUGUGCGGCUGAGGAUGGGCCCGCGGCCUAUCAGCUUGUUGGUGGGGUGAUGGCCUACCAAGGCGACGACGGGUAGCCGGCCUGAGAGGGCGACCGGCCACACUGGGACUGAGACACGGCCCAGACUCCUACGGAGGCAGCAGUGGGAAUCUUGCGCAAUGGGCGAAAGCCUGACGCAGCGACGCCGCGUGAGGGAUGACGGCCU
RNAcentral lists this ribosomal RNA (386 nucleotides) under uncultured bacterium. RNAcentral describes it as "bacterial SSU rRNA". It matches the Rfam family "Bacterial small subunit ribosomal RNA", at positions 28 to 417 of the family's 1533-position model. The record is from RNAcentral.